Molecule: ribosomal RNA, 253 nt
Filed under: uncultured bacterium
Lineage: Bacteria
Description: partial 16S ribosomal RNA
Rfam family: Bacterial small subunit ribosomal RNA
Source: RNAcentral
UACGAAGGAGGCUAGCGUUGCUCGGAAUCACUGGGCGUAAAGGGUGCGUAGGCGGGUCUUUAAGUCAGGGGUUAAAUCCUGGAGCUCAACUCCAGAACUGCCUUUGAUACUGAGGAUCUUGAGUUCGGGAGAGGUGAGUGGAACUGCGAGUGUAGAGGUGAAAUUCGUAGAUAUUCGCAAGAACACCAGUGGCGAAGGGGGCUCACUGGCCCGAUACUGACGCUGAGGCACGAAAGCGUGGGGAGCAAACAGG